UGCGGAGGAUCCGAGCGUUAUCCGGAUUUAUUGGGUUUAAAGGGUGCGUAGGCGGCCUUGUAAGUCAGGGGUGAAAGACGGUAGCUCAACUAUCGCAGUGCCUUUGAUACUGCAGGGCUUGAAUGUACUUGAGGUAGGCGGAAUGUGACAAGUAGCGGUGAAAUGCAUAGAUAUGUCACAGAACACCAAUUGCGAAGGCAGCUUACUAAAGUAUGAUUGACGCUGAGGCACGAAAGCGUGGGGAUCAAACAGG
This 253-nucleotide ribosomal RNA is filed under the name uncultured bacterium. RNAcentral describes it as "partial 16S ribosomal RNA". It matches the Rfam family "Bacterial small subunit ribosomal RNA", at positions 524 to 776 of the family's 1533-position model. The record is from RNAcentral.